CCGGCGGGCGGCCAGUGGGAGGACCUCGCUCUAGCUGUGGGUGUGCUGGAGCUUCCCGGCCGGGCUGACGGCUCGGGGUCUGAGAGCCCCGGUGGUGAAUGUCUUGCCUGAAGGCCAGAUAAGGCCUACAAAAUUCAUCUGGUCUGGCCCUGCCAAGGCAACUGCAGGAAACAGAGAUAAGAAUAUAACUUCUGGAACCAGGCAGCCAUCUUGCAACUGUGAGGUCACAAGCAUUUGGACAUAAAAACAUUCUGAGGAAGGCAUAGUGGAAAAAAUAGAACCAUGUUUCUAAAAGACAGUGUUGAGCCCCUGCACGAAGCCAGGAACAUCCAUCUGCAGACUUAACUACUACAGGUGUGUUGUGUUGCUUAGGCUACUUUAUGGUCCUCUGUUCAUUGCAUCCUGGAUGAGACAUUCAGUGAGUGGCAAAGGGGUUUGAGCAACUUGCCAUCAAAAUUUUAUCUGGAUGUUGGGGCCAGCAUUGUGGCAUAGUGGGUAAAGCCGCUGCCUGCGAUGCUGGCAUCCCAUGUGGGCACCAGUUCGUGUUGUGGCUGCUCUACUUUUUUUUUAAGAUUUACUUAUUUAUUUGAGAGGAAGAGUUACAGAAAGAGAGAGGGAGAGACAGAGAGAGAGAGAGGUCUUCCAUUCGCUGGUUCACUCCCCAAAUGGCUACAACAGCUGGAGCUGGGCCAAUCUGAAGCCAGGAGCUUCUUCCAGGUCUCCCAUGUAGGUGCAGGGAUCCAAGCACUUGGGCCAUCUGCCACUGCUUUCCCAGGCCAUUAGCUGGGAGCUAGAUCAGAAGUGGAGUGGCCAGGACUCAAACUGGUGCCCACAUGGGAUGCCGGUGCUGCAGGUGGAGGCUUAAGGCUGCUAUGCCACAGUGCUCCGUUUCUGAUCCAGCUCCCUGCUAAUGGCCUGGGAAAAGCAGCAGACGAUGGCCCAAAUGCUUGGAUCCCUGCCACCCACAUGGGAAACCUGGAUGAAACUCCUGGCUCCUGGCUUCCGUCUGGCCCAGCACUGGGCAUCGUGGCCAUUUGGGGAGUGAACCAGCAGAUGGAAGAUUCUUUCUCUCACUGUCUCUGUAACUCUGAUUUUUCAAAAUAAAUGAAUGUUUCUUUUAAAAAAAAUUACGACAGCAAGUGAUACGGAGAAGCAACUGGAAUCAUGUCAGCUCUCCAAAAGGCAUAUAAUCUUUAACAAAACCAAGUCUGAAAAUGGUGGCUGUUUCUAACGUAAGAUAAAUGUGCAGUGGUUUAAAUGACACAAAAAUAGAAGAAGCAGGUUUGUACAGGUUAAUUUCCUAUCUUGUUUCUUGCUAAUCCUUUUGGUGAUGUUAGGAUGCCCAAUUUUCUACCAAGAAUUCCUUUCUUUGCUUCCUCCUUCUCAGCGUCUUGGAGGCUGAUGAAGAAUACGGUAGAAUGUUCUAAGUAUAGACAGAAACAAACCCUAUUGAGCACUACGGAUUGAGAAAAUCCUACUCAUUAAAGCAUCCUUAAAGACAUUUUUUUGUUAGCUAUGAGAAACUAUUAAAAUUAGUUUGUAUGUACUCUGUCAAAUGACCUUUUGGUAUUAUAAUAAUGGAGAAUUGAAGACAUAAGGAGCCUUGGUAAAGGCCGAUUAAUAAGAAUUCCAGGUAAGUUACUUUCAGAAUGAUAAUCUAAGCUACUAGGACAGCAGGAGCAUCACAUGUUUUCCAAAGUGAGUUCCUAGUCCUCAUCUGUGGACUUUUAUCCCUGCAUUUGUAUCUUUAUAGCAAGUCAAUAGCAGAAGAUAGUAUGGAUUUUUAAAAAUGAACGUCACUGCAUAAAUGUAACAUUCAUUCAGCACUCCCUGUGCUAAAAAUAACGGUCUAUCAUGGUGCCUAGUUCACAUUUCAUGAGAAACCUGAUCGAUGCUAUGCCCAUUUUCAGAUGAACCCGAGCUCUCAAAAGGUUCAAUAACUUUUCCAAGUUCACACAGAAAGUAAGUGCCACGGCUAGAGUUUAAACCUGUCUGCUUCCAAAGCAUGUGUUCUUAAUCCUCCUACUGGACUGUCUCCCAUAUUUUAUGUAUUACGGAGUUCUCAUUAUCUGGGAUUUUUUCGUACUAAGGCUGGAGUUUCACAUUUCAUCAAACCAGUGAAGUUAUUGAAGUUCAGCCUCAAAAAAAAACUACUUGAUUUUACAUUUUCUGACUUGGGUUCAAUUUCCUUUGACCUUGAUUUCCAUAUUUAUAGAACAGGGACAGUAAUACCAGGUCUACCACUUAAAUUACGUUGAACUUUCAGUGUUUAAUGAGAGUUCAUGUCUGGACACCUUCAAACAGUAACUCAUUCCAGAGGCCCAUCCAAGACCUACUGAAUCAAACGUCUUUGAUGGUGGGCCUGGCAAUCCCUAGUUUUUAAGUGAUUUUAUUAUUUUAUAAAAAUCAUGCAGGUUGUAUGUAAAAAUUACAAGAACAUAAAAAAAGGAAGGUGUGGGCGGUGGUGGUAGUGGUGACACUGAUGAUGGUAACAAAAACGACCCAUUCUAUUUAGUAGACAGAAUGUGCCAGAAUUUACAUACCUUGUCUCCUGCUGUCACGUUUAAUCUUCUCAACCAUCUGUAAACCUUAAAACACAUUAUUGCCCACAUUUUACAGAUAAAGCACUUGAAAUCCAAAGCGUUUGCAACAUCUGUCUUAGUUUCCUAGUGCUGCUGUGACAAAGUACCACAAACUGGGUGACUUAAAGCAACAAUGGAUGUGUACUGUCCCCUAGUUAUGGAAGCUGGAAGUGUCGACAGGGCCCUACUCCCUCCGAACCCUCUAGGGGAGGAUUUUUCCCUACCUCGUCCAGUUUCUAGUGAUCCCAGGGUAGUUCCCCUUGGCUUGUGGCUACAAAACUCCAACCUCUGCCUCCAUCUUCAGACUCUGUGUCUAUCUGCACAAGGAACUCUCCCUGUGUGUGUCUGAAUCCAAAGUUCUUUCUUCUGAGACAUUAGUCACUGAAUCAGCCUCUACCUAAUAGCAUCACCUUAAUUUGACUACAUCUACAAAGAUCCUAUGCCCAGCUAAGAUCACAUUCCCAGGUACGGGUGAUACUCUUCAACCCAUAACUGUCCAAUAGUACAGUGGCUAGUAUAGAAAAACUAGAUUUGUGAUAUGGGGAAACUAGGCAGGGAGGUUAAUUAGGAAUAAUUGAGCUGAAUUUUUUUUCAUAAUUUCUGUGUAUCACUGUACUAUAACUCCACCCCUUACCUGUCAAUCCAAUACACUCACUUUCCCAUGAUGCACCUGUGUCUCAUCUGGGACCAGGAAGGAGGAGAUGCCUUGAUGGUCAUGUAGAAGUUAAGCUCCACAUGGAGGUGCCAUGAAACUCCCAGAAAGCCUCAUGCAUACUGAACUGAACCUGUUUGUAAAUUCCACUAGGGCACCGCUGCCUACCACAUAAAAGGGACCCAUACAUGUGGAAAUGCGCCCUGUGCUUUUAGGCUUCUGGACCUUGCUUAUGGGUCCUUCUCUGGCCUCCUCCUACUCUCUCUUCUCAUAGGCAACUCUGGCCCACUCUUGACAGGUGUCUCCCCUUGUGGGGUUGCCCGCACUCUUGUGUAAAUGUAAUUUUUUAAAAAAUUAUUUAUUUGAAAGAGUUGCACAGAGGCAGAGACAGAAUGAGAUAUUACAUAUGCUGGUUCACUCCCCAAAUGGCCACAAUAGCUGGGGCCGGGUCAGGCCAAAGCUAGGAGCCAUGAACUCCAUUUAGUCUCCCAUGUGGAUGUAGGGGCCUCAGCGCUUGGGUCAUCUGCUGCUGCUUUCCCAGGGUGGAUCCGGCUGGAACAGAAGUGGAGCAGCCAGGACUCAAAUCGGUGCUCAUAUGGGAUGCCAGAGUCAUAGGCGGUAACUUAACCCACUGCCCCACAGUGCUCACCACUCUCUCUUAAAUAAAUCCAGUUCUCACUUGUGCACUGCGUCUAUGCCUUGGCUUUGAAUUCUUAUUUCUGUGGGGACAAGAACUUGGAAUAAUGGUUAAGGUACUUUAUGCCCAUAGCAUCUGCACUUAGAAGAUAAAAGGCCUGGUGCCUUGGUCAUCAGUCACCAUAUACUCUCUCAGCUGCAUGCUUGUUGGGGGAGAGGUGCAUGAUGCCUUCAGACAGGAAGAAAGUAAUAAGUGAAAAAGAAAAGUAUUCAGUAAAAAGUUAUUUAUAAGAGAACAAAAGUUAGUGCUGGUCUCAGACAUUUCCUCUGCAACAGUUAGAUGCCAAAUGACUCCGCGGGGUUGGGAAGGGAGGAGGGAGUGAUGAGCUAAGAAUGUCAUAACCAGCAAUUUGUCUUUCCGUGGGACAGGCAGGCAUUCUCAGAAACCCAGGGGCUCAGAAAAUAUUCCACUUGUUGAAAACUAUUUGAAGAUGCAUUCCAGUGGUUCAUAGGGUUUGGGGUUACACAGACCAGAAAAAGAUUUCAAAAAUAAUUUGAAAACCACCAGAGGAUUGCCAGCUUUUAACAUUGUAAGGGUGUUUAAAUCAAAUCAAACUACCAGCGAGUGUUGUAAUCAUUUCAUAAAAGACAUCAUUUUAAGGCCAACAAAUAUUAAAAGGAUAUAAUCUGGGAGCGAUUUAAAUGGAAUCAUUUAGCCUAUGGAAACAAAAAUCCUUAUUUAAUAUCAGUUUGCUCCAAAGUAGUGAAAAACUUUUUCCACAGAUAAGAUCUCACCCAUGAAUGGGUGUUGGAGAGCCAGAAAUGGACCAGAGCACCAAGAAGGACAUCAACUGCAAAUGAGACUCUGGCUCGCACUCUGUGCUUUUUGCAACCGAGGGAAAAAAACAUUUGAACGCAACUGCAAUAGUUUCCAGUUGCUAAUGAGAGUUUUGAUGGGAAAAUAAAUCGUUGCGCUGCCACUCCCUUCCAUAUGCUCUACGCUGGUAGAGGACCAGGAGUAGAACUUGUUCCCUCAACCCACGUCUCGGUUUCCAUUGAGUGUUUUCCAAGUUCUCAUGGAGAUAUCUACAAAAGGACUGCCGCGUAAGACGAUGACUUGAAGUUACAUAUGUAGCUGAUUUUCUCUCCCAGAUUCUCUGCAGAAAGAACAUGCUCCAUCUGAAACCCAGAACUGUCUAGCCAUAUAGUCAGCCCUUCCUGUUCAAGAAUCCCACAUUCUCAGAUUCAACCAACUAUAACCACCACCCCCCAAAAAUAAGAGUAUAUAUUUUGUUUAGCGACUGUACUGAAUGUGUAUAGAUGAUUUCCUUGUCAUUAUUCUCCCAUAUGAUACAGCAUAGCAACUAUUUACAUAGCAUUUACAUUUUACGAGGCAUUCUAAGUUGUACAGAGAUGAUUUAAAGCAUACGGGAGGAUGUGCAGAGGUUACUUGCAAAUCCUUUGCCAUUUUAUAGAAGAGGCUUGAGCAUCUGCAUACUUUAGUAUCCACAGCAGUCCUAGCACCAAUCCCCUGUGGGAUAAUUUUGCAUAUUAGAACAUUGAGAAAAGGACCCAUCCACUUGUGACUUGGGGCAUAUGAAGGAUGAGACUCAUCUAUGGGAUAAGAGGGAGCACCCCUCCCACCCCAAGCAAAAUUCAACCAGGACAUUCCUCCCCAUGCUUAAACCAGGAGGAACUAGAGAUCCGGAGCCAGAACCCGAGGGUGAGUGCAUGAGGCACUGACACUAAGGCUAAUGGAAGCCUUUGGUUGCUUGUUUGCACGACGCAGAGGAAACCACAGCCAUUGCAAAGCUGACAUGCAGCUGAAGGAGUAGGUGGGGGUUGAGACUCCUGCCCUGAGCCUUGUCUAACUGUAUGCUAGAAGCACAAAAUAGGCAAGGCUGGGAAUCUCCUACUUGUAACAGAUGCUCAUCUCCCCGGCAAGUGGACCCUCAACCCACUAUAACCUGAUUCUCCGUUUAAGAGCAGGGGCUCUGAAGUCCACCUGCACAUAAAUCUAAGCCCUGUCCUUUAAUGGCUCUAAUUUUUGGCUGAUUAACUCUUUCUGUGCCUCAAUUCAAAUAGAGACCAUAAUAGUACUUGUGUCAGAAGGUGGUAUUGGUGAGUUAACAGAAAAGUUAUGAGCUAGGAGUGCUAUUCCCCCACACCUAGGUUACUUAUCUCCCUUACUAGGACCGUAGUACUCGGCUAAUGAAGUUGCUAUUGUUAUUAUCAUUGCCUGAAGCAAGAUAUCACAGCCAUGUUAUAAGCAAUGAAAUCAAGAUUUAGACUAGUUCUUCCAAGGGUAUUUAUAUUAAAAUAAUUAAUGAACCAUAAAUUAGAAUUUUGACUCCACAUCUGACUCAAGGCCACACCAACUUGGUGUUUUAAAAACAUGCAAGCCGGCACUGCGGCUCACUAGGCUAAUCCUCCACCUAGUGGCGCCGACACACCGGGUUCUAGUCCCGGUCAGGGCGCCGGAUUCUGUCCCGGUUGCCCCUCUUCCAGGCCAGCUCUCUGCUGUGGCCCGCGAGUGCAGUGGAGGAUGGCCCAAGUACUUGGGUCCUGCACCCCAUGGGAGACCAGGAGAAGCACCUGGCUCCUGCCUUCGGAUCAGCAUGGUGCGCCCGUCACAGCGCGCCAGCCAUGGCGGCCAUUGGAGGGCGAACCAACGGCAAAAGGAAGACCUUUCUCUCUGUCUCUCUCUCUCACUAUCCACUCUGCCUGUCAAAAACAAAAACAAAACAAAACAAACAAACAAAAACUCAAAAAACAAAAAACAUGCAUUUAUUAUCUUCCAGUCCUGGAGGCCAGUUGUUCUAAAGAGGUUUUACUGAGCUAAAGUCAAGGUGUUGGCAGGGCUGUGUUCCUUCAGGAGGCUGGAGAGAAGUCAUUCUGUCUUUUCUGGUGUUUAAGGCACCCAUACACAUUCCUUGGCAUCUAGCCCCUUCAAAGCCAGCAAUGGCAGACUAAGUUGUUCUCGUGCCCCGCAACUUGGCAUUGCCUCUUCUGCCUUCUCUUCCAUUGCUAAGGACUUGGCUGAUUCCAUUGGGCCUGCCUGGAUAAUCUCCCUAUUUAAAGUCAGGUCCAUCCGCUACCUUUUAAGUGCCCUUUGCCUUUUAACCUCAUACAUUCGCUGAUUCCUGGCAUUAAAACACUGACAUCUUUUUUUUUUUUAAUUCAUUCAUUUAUUUGAAAAUCAGAGUUACACAGAGAGAGGAGAGGCAGAGAGAGAGAGAGAGAAUCUUCCAUCCGAUGGUUCAUUCCCCACUGGCCGAAAUGGCUGGAGCUGCACCAAUCCGAAUCCAGGAGCCAGGAGCUUCCUCUGGGUCUCCCACACGGGUGCAGGGGCCCAAGGACGCCGGCCAUCCUCCACUGCUCUCCCAGGCCACAGCGGAUCAGAAGUGGAGCAGCUGGGUCUCAAACCAGCGCCCAUAUGGGAUGCCGGCGCUUUAGGCCAGGAUGUUAACCCACUGCGCCACAGGCCAGCCCAUCACAUUGACAUCCUUAUGGGAACUUUUGUCCUGCCUACUACAAAGUCCAUGCUAAAGCCACUAAAGAUUAUCUGCAUUUCCUUAUCCUUGAGGUAGGUGUGACACAAUAGUUAGGAUGCUCCGUAGGUUGCCUGGAUCACAUCCUGUAUUGGAGGACUGGGUUGGAUUCCCAGGGCCACUCAGCUUUCCAGGUUCCUGCUAACAUGCAACCUGGUGGACAGUAUUGAUGGGAUGCUGGCAUCCUAUAUGAGUAGCAGUUCAAGUCUUGGCUGCCCUGCUUCCAAUCCAGCUCCCUGCUGACGCACUUGGGAAAGCAGUGGGAAGUGGCCCAAGUACUUGGGUCCCUGCCAUCCAUGUGGGGGACCCAGAUGGAGUUAGAAAAGUUAGAAGCAAAAUAAGGCAGGGCUCUCCAUGAAUGUAUUAAAAUGAAUUAUAAAAUUAAAAUAAUUUGGUAGUACUUGUGCAGGAAUAGGUAAACAAGAUCAUUGGAAUAAAAUAAAAAGUCGAUAGACCAAAGGAUAUGUAAGUACUUAGUGUGUGCAGUGGAGGCCUGUUAAAUCACUGUGGAAAGAAUGCUCUUAUGAAAAACAUUGCAGGGACCAAAAAUCAUCACUUGGGAGAAAAAAUGUGAUCUGGAUCUUACAUAAUAUUUCAAAAUUUACUUGAAGUAGAUGAAAAUUUUUAAAUUAGAGGAAGGUGUUUAGCCUAGUGCUUAAGAUUCCUGCAUCUCAUGUUGGAGUCCUUCAUACCUGCAUCUCAUAUUGGAGCACCUGAAUUUGAGUACCUGAACAGGCUCUUGACUCCAGCUUCCUGCUAAUGUGGACCUGAGGGGCAGUGGUUUUGGUUCAAGUAGUUGGAUUCUUACUAUGCACAUGGGAGUCCUAGAUUGAUGUCCUGGAUCGAAGUUUGGGCCCUGGCCCAGCCCUAACCAUUUCAGACAUUUGAUUAGUGAACUAGGAGAUGGAACAGCUUGCUUGCUCACUCUCUGCCUUUGAAAUCUAAAAAUUUAAUAGGAGAAAAAUAUAGGUUUUGGAUGGACAAUGUAAGUAUGACAUAUCAACAAAUGCAUGAAGAUAAUGGAAUAUGCACUUUAAACACAUUUUUAUUAAAAAUUUUUCAAGUAUUUUUAACCCCCAAAUUUAAAACUUUUCUGUGUCCCAAACAACAAAUCAAGUUAAAAAGCGAUCAAAAAUGAAACUGUACCCUAUAUAAAAAAGGAAGUUACCAGUAUUAAAAUGGAUAAUCUUAGAGAUAAAUAAUAAAUGUACAUUAUGAGUGGACAUGUUAGGUAGGAAGUCAGAUACGAGCUUAUGUGUUUGUGACAAAGGCCUAAAGAAUUGACAUCUAGGUCCAGCAUAUGCAUCUCAAAGUCAUCCUGAUAACCUUCCAGGUACAGCCCAGUAUCUGCACUUCAAAUGCUCCCUGCCCCUUCUACCUGAUAACCAUCCUUCCUCUAAGGCUCCUCUAAGGUGGGGUGAUGCCAGCCAGGCUUCCCCUCUGUCUGAUAACUUCAGGGGGAAAACUCAGAAAGGAAUUUUUUGUAUUUACAUCCAAAACGUCCUUUGUUCCAGGAGGAAAAGAGGGGAAGGCAAGGCCCAUCCCCUUAAAAACCCCCAGCCUCAACUGGACUGCAUGCUCAGCCCUCUGCCUCUCUGCUGAGCCGCCCACCUGGCCUGGCCUGGCCUGACCUGGCCAGGUGUAUUCUCUCCACUCAACCAUGUAACCUCGCUCUCCCCCAGUCUGAGUGACUGGGCACUGUCUCUCAGUUUCUCUCUUAUGAAUGUCCCUGCCCUAAUAAACCUUGCUAUUUUGCUUUCCA
This is a non-coding RNA of Oryctolagus cuniculus (rabbit), 9183 nucleotides long. NCBI's taxonomy places the organism in Eukaryota, Metazoa, Chordata, Mammalia, Lagomorpha, Leporidae. The record is from RefSeq and is a predicted model, not a curated record.